RNAcentral lists this ribosomal RNA (119 nucleotides) under Microcebus murinus (gray mouse lemur). The record is from RNAcentral. Lineage: Eukaryota; Metazoa; Chordata; Mammalia; Primates; Cheirogaleidae.
AUCUACCACCAUACCACCCUGGAUGUGACCAAUCUGAUCUGAUCUUGAAAGCUAAGCAGGGUCAAGACAGAUUAGUACUUGGAUGGGAGACCGCCUGGGAAUACCAGGUGCUGUAGGCU